GCUGGCGGCAUGCCUAACACAUGCAAGUCGAACGAGAUCUUCGGAUCUAGUGGCGCACGGGUGAGUAACGCGUGGGAACCUACCUUUUAGUACGGGACAACGUUUGGAAACGAACGCUAAUACCGUAUACGCCCUCCGGGGGAAAGGUCAGCCGCUAAAAGAGGGGCCCGCGUCUGACUAGCUUGUUGGUAAGGUAAUGGCUUACCAAGGCGACGAUCAGUAGCUGGUCUGAGAGGAUGAUCAGCCACACUGGGACUGAGACACGGCCCAGACUCCUACGGGAGGCAGCAGUGGGGAAUAUUGGACAAUGGAGGCAACUCUGAUCCAGCAAUGCCGCGUGUGUGAUGAAGGCCCUAGGGUUGUAAAGCACUUUCAACGGUGAAGAUGAUGACGGUAGCCGUAGAAGAAGCCCCGGCUAACUUCGUGCCAGCAGCCGCGGUAAUACGAAGGGGGCGAGCGUUAUUCGGAAUUAUUGGGCGUAAAGGGCUCGCAGGCUGCUUGAACAGUUAGACGUGAAAUCCCCGGGCUUAACCUGGGAACUGCGUUUAAUACUAGCAAGCUAGAGAAAUAGAGAGGAAAGUGGAACUCCCAGUGUAGAGGUGAAAUUCGUAGAUAUUGGGAAGAACACCA
This 630-nucleotide ribosomal RNA is filed under the name uncultured Alphaproteobacteria bacterium. RNAcentral describes it as "bacterial SSU rRNA". It matches the Rfam family "Bacterial small subunit ribosomal RNA", at positions 35 to 711 of the family's 1533-position model. Lineage: Bacteria; Pseudomonadati; Pseudomonadota; Alphaproteobacteria. The record is from RNAcentral.